This 497-nucleotide ribosomal RNA is filed under the name uncultured bacterium. RNAcentral's name for it is "partial 16S ribosomal RNA". It matches the Rfam family "Bacterial small subunit ribosomal RNA", at positions 28 to 507 of the family's 1533-position model. The record is from RNAcentral.
GAUGAACGCUGGCGGCGUGCCUAAUACAUGCAAGUCGAGCGAACAGACGAGGAGCUUGCUCCUCUGACGUUAGCGGCGGACGGGAGAGUAACACGUGGAUAACCUACCUAUAAGACUGGGAUAACUUCGGGAAACCGGAGCUAAUACCGGAUAAUUUAUUGAACCGCAUGGUUCAAUAGUGAAAGACGGUUUUGCUUUCACUUAUAGAUUGAUCCGCGCCGCAUUAACUAGUUGGUAAGGUAAAGGCUUACCAAGGCAACGAUGCGUACCCGACCUGAGAGGGUGAUCGGACACCCUGGAACUGAGAAACGGUACCGACUCCUACAGGAGGAAGCAGUAGGGAAUCUUCCGCGAUGGAGGAAAGCCUGACGGAGCAACGCCGGGGGAGUGAUGAAGGUCUUCGGCUCGUAGAGCUCUGUUAUUAGGGAAGAUGAAAUGUGUAAGUAACUGUGAUCAUAUUGACGGUACCGGGUCAGAAAGCCACGGCUAACUACGUG